Molecule: long non-coding RNA, 2454 nt
Filed under: Salmo salar (Atlantic salmon)
Lineage: Eukaryota; Metazoa; Chordata; Actinopteri; Salmoniformes; Salmonidae
Description: lncRNA (ENSSSAG00000089210.1)
Source: RNAcentral
AAGGGCGCCAAAAACGGCGAAGCUAAAUUAUCGACGUGUCAGUCAUUAUCUACAAUCUUAGCUAGCUGCUAAUAUCAGUGCAGACAUGCUUCCCAGUCUCAAUAAGGAGGAUUUACGUGAUCUCUUUCCCGGACCAGAGCACUUCUUCAGAAGGAGAACCAUUUGGCGACUUAAUCAUGGUGAAAAUUAGGGUUAAGAAUCAGACCUGUGUAGACCAGUCACCUCCUCUGGGACCUAUGAUUUCAGCCCCACUCCCACCCCCUUUCCCUCCUCCUCCUCCACCCCCUUCCACUCUCUACUGCCCCCCCAUCCCCCCACCCCUCUCCAAACCCAAGAGACCAACAUGGUGCCACCAGAACUGUACAGCUUGUCAGCCCACAGUAUGUCAUAUACACAGACACAGAGUUGGAGCAAUCAAGAAUAACCUUUUUUGAAAAACAGCGUGCUGGACAAGGAGACUAUAUCCUUUCCAAAGAUCUUCGCUGUUGAUUAAUCAGGAAUACAGUAACAAGCAUGAUUUCCAUUGAGAGAGCGGCAGGGGAUGACUUCCAGUAUCCAUGCAGCCGUGAACUCAUUGUAAUGGUGAAGCGUCUCAUAGACUACUACCCAAUGCUGCGGGACAGAUCUGCAACCAGUGGAGCUGAGUGGGUCACUUCUCAGUAUUGGGUAGUAGUCACUUCUCAGGUAUUCAACACAUGUUUCCAAACACAGCACUGUUGGAUACCUGGCAACCAAAGUGCAAACAUCUGACACUCAAAAUAGCAGGGAUGUGCUUCAUCCAGAUCAAUCAGGGAAACAUGUGUCUGCUUGUAUCGUUUCAUUUCUGUGGAAUAUGUUUAUGAUGUACAGGAUCAGGGCAGCAAAUACAUACUCCUCUGGAUCCAGGGCAUACUUCUGCCUGCCCAUUACCAGCUGGCAGUCAAUCACCAGGAGGGAAAAGGUGAUGGAGGAAAGAAAGGGUUUAGGGUGCAAUAGAUGGAGGUAUUCAUUCUGGCUACAAGGCUGCAUAAACAGAAAGAACCUAAUAAAAGGAGAUAUAACAUUGAGUGAGUUCUAUAUCAGUGAGAAGGGCAGGGCUCCCAGAGAUCCAUAGACUAUCUGCAGCACAUUGGAGUAGUAGAAACAGCAGAAGAAGCUGAACAUGAGAAGGUCCACUGCCCCAGCACCAGCAGGAUGCCAUUACAACGCGUGAAGUCCACGCUUUGUAAUGUCUGCAGACCAAAGAGAGGAGUGAGUAACUUUUAUUUCUGAAUUCCAAAGCGACCCUGGGCAAUAUGGUAUUUGUUGUCCAAUAAGCUAGGUCACCGGGGGGUCAGCCUGACCACAAACUGAUGUGGUAUGGUCGAUUUGGAAUUAAGCAUAAUAUCAUGUUUUUAGUGAUUUGAAAAAAACAGUCUGACCUGGGCUGAGAAGAUGAUGAUGGUGAAGGAGAUGACCACUGUUGCUCCCAUGGCGAUGACUACAGCAGUGGUGUCGGGGAAUGAGGCCACAGUGCUGACCAUGUAGGAAAGGCUGAGAGCGACCACUGACUAGAGGCAGUAUGCACACCAUAACACUUAAAAUACCACUCACUCAAUCCCAAAUCUCACUUUAUCCUAUCAUUGUGUUCAAGUAGUGAUAGAAUCAAAGCAAGAUCAAAGACGGUUGUUCUCAUUAGUCAUGCAACUAAGUUCUAGGAGAAUGUAUUUGGCAUUAGCCAAUAGGGAACUGUGAAUACAGUAAGGUACACUUAUAAGCAUCACCGGUAACUUCACUUUUUAAAUAAUGUGUAUGAACACAUCUAAAAAAAAACUAUUGUAUAGUUUAUAUCUAUAAGUGAACAGAUAAACCUAGAGCUCAAUUAAGUCUAACCCACACUUCAGUAUUACUUAGUGACUUUGCAUGGGCCAGUUUGUCAGUCGCUGGUCUAGCUAGUUGUGAUGGGGUUGUGUUUAUGUGUUUGUGCGUGCGUGUGACCCACCAGGUUCCAGGGAUGGCUACUGCUAAAUGAGCUGCAGCAGAUGAGGCAGAUGGCCACUGAAGUAAACAGGAUGGAGGAGCUGAGGUUUUUGUCCUGCUGAAAGGUGAAUUCAUCUCCCAGUGUCUGGUGAAAAGGAGACUGAACCAGGCUUUUCUCAAGGAUUUUGCCUGUGUUUAGAUGCAUUUCGUUUAUUUCCCUAGUCCUUAACGAUUGCAAGAAUACCCAUAUAACAUGAUGCAGCCACCAAAAAGUGAAUUAUUUUGCUAUUUUUUUUGUUGAAAACAGGAUGCAUGUUUUGGAGUAUUUUUAUUCUGUACAGGCUUCCUUUUCACUCACUGGAGUAACUACAAUAUUGAUGAUCCAUCCUCUGUUAUCUCCUAUUACAGCCAUUAAACUCUAACUGUUUUAAAGUCACCAUAGGCCUCAUGGUUAAAUCCCUGAGCGGUUUCCUUCCUCUCCGGCAACUGAGUUAGGAAGGACACCUGUAUCUUUAG